UCAGGAUGAACGCUGGCGGCGCGCUUAACACAUGCAAGUCGAACGGUUAAAGCACCCUCGGGUGUGGAUAAAGUGGCGAGCGGCUGAGUAACACGUGGGCAACCUGCCCCCCGCACCGGGAUAGCCUCGGGAAACCGUGGGUAAUACCGGAUACUCCGCCCACCCCGCAUGGGGAGGGCGGAAAGCAAUGCACGGCGGGGAUGGGCCCGCGGCCUGUUAGCUCGUUGGCGGGGUAACGGCCCACCAAGGCGACUAUGGGUAGCCGGGUUGAGAGACCGACCGGCCAGAUUGGGACUGAGACACGGCCCAGACUCCUACGGGAGGCAGCAGUGGGGAAUCUUGCACAAUGGGCGAAAGCCUGAUGCCAGCGACGCCGCGUGCGGGAAGAAGGCCCUCGGGUUGUAAACCGCUUUCAGCAGGGACGAGGCGCAAGUGACGGUACCUGCAGAAGAAGCCCCGGCUAACUACGUGCCAGCCGCAGC
RNAcentral lists this ribosomal RNA (482 nucleotides) under uncultured bacterium. RNAcentral's name for it is "bacterial SSU rRNA". It matches the Rfam family "Bacterial small subunit ribosomal RNA", at positions 24 to 518 of the family's 1533-position model. The record is from RNAcentral.